This is a long non-coding RNA of Silurus meridionalis, 787 nucleotides long. RefSeq lists it as uncharacterized. Lineage: Eukaryota; Metazoa; Chordata; Actinopteri; Siluriformes; Siluridae. The transcript has 3 exons. The record is from RefSeq and is a predicted model, not a curated record.
ACAGCUGGAAAAGUUUGGUGUCCCAAUACUUUUCUCCAUAUCUGUAUCUGUAGUGCGUUUGGUAGAACGGCUGUUGUGAAGGAUAUCUCCGAGCUCAGCUGGUUCUAAUUGCGCCUGCUGCUUGACACCAUGCACCUUGUUCCGUAACGGGCUGGUUUCUCCAUACGUGAUCAGCUCACGGCCAGCUCCUUCAUUUACCCCUCACUCUCACUCCACCCCACCUCUUUUAAACCUCCUCCCACUCCAUGGACUGCCUGUAUAAAUACAUGUCUUCUCACACAUUCUUUUUUCUUAUUUGGAUUACAACAACGUUUCUUCGCUCACCAAGUCUCCAGUAGUUUGUCUUUUCUUCCUAGCCAACACCUAGACACCAGAGAUGCCCGAGUCUGUAGAUGUUCCUGCUCAAUGCCAAAUCCUUAAAGACGAGAUGGACAAAUGUGUCCAAGGGAAGGGUGCUGAAGCCUGUAAGGAUUUAAUGGAAGCUUUCGAGGCCUGUGUGAAAAGUGCAGUGGAAACUUCAUGAGAAGGAAAGCGUCACGCUCAGGUCGCCUUUCUUCAGGGCGGGAUCUCUGCAUUCCUUUCUGGGUUUCCUUCGUCGGACUGAACCAUUACAAAUAUUUGGCCAAAAGUCAGGGGUCUACAAGAGGAUAAAUUCUUGAGUUUGCCCUGUCUGGAUCAGAAAUGGCACUACAAUCGCUCAGAAUUUAUUGUCAUUGUCCUAAAGCAGCAUGGGCCCACAGGAUUUCUAUUAUAUAUUUAAAAAAAUGUAUCUCAUAUUAUUGAUUUU